This 84-nucleotide transfer RNA is filed under the name Planctomycetaceae bacterium. RNAcentral's name for it is "tRNA-Ser". It matches the Rfam family "tRNA". From Rfam's summary of the family: Transfer RNA (tRNA) molecules are approximately 80 nucleotides in length. The record is from RNAcentral. Lineage: Bacteria; Pseudomonadati; Planctomycetota; Planctomycetia; Planctomycetales; Planctomycetaceae.
GAGAGGUGGCCGAGCGGUCGAAGGCACUGGUCUUGAAAACCAGCGUGGGGCAACCUACCGUGGGUUCGAAUCCCACCCUCUCCG